AUUGAACGCUGGCGGCAGGCCUAACACAUGCAAGUCGAGCGGAUGAAGGGAGUUUGCUCCUGGAUUCAGCGGCGGACGGGUGAGUACUGCCUAGGAAUCUGCAUGGUAGUGGGGGAUAACGUCCGGCAACGGGCGCUAAUACCGCAUACGUCCUGAGGGAGAAAGUGGGUGAUCUUCGGACCUCACGCUAUCAGAUGAGCCUAGGUCGGAUUAGCAAGUUGGUGGGGUAAAGGCCUACCAAGGCGACGAUCCGUAACUGGUCUGAGAGGUUGAUCAGUCACACUGGAACUGAGACACGGUCCAGACUCCUACGGUAGGCAGCAGUGAGGAAUAUUGGACAAUUGACGAAAGCCUGAUCCAGCCAUGCCGCGUGUGUGAAGAGGGUCUUCGGAUUGUAAAGCACUUUAAGUUGGGAGGAAGGGCAGUAAGUUGAUACCUUGCUUUUUUGACGUUACCAACAGAAUAAGCACCGGCUAACUUCGUG
RNAcentral lists this ribosomal RNA (484 nucleotides) under uncultured bacterium. RNAcentral's name for it is "partial 16S ribosomal RNA". It matches the Rfam family "Bacterial small subunit ribosomal RNA", at positions 30 to 507 of the family's 1533-position model. The record is from RNAcentral.